UACGGAGGGUGCAAGCGUUAUCCGGAAUCACUGGGUUUAAAGGGUACGUAGGCGGCGGUAUAAGUCAGACGUCAAAGGCCAAGGCUAAACCUUGGUACGCGUUUGAAACUGUACGGCUUGAAUAUGUUCGAGGUGCAUGGAAUGCUUCAUGUAGCGGUGAAAUGCAUAGAUAUGAAGUAGAACACCAAUUGCGAAGGCAGUGCACUAGGGCAUUAUUGACGCUGAGGUACGAAAGCGUGGGUAGCGAACAGG
RNAcentral lists this ribosomal RNA (252 nucleotides) under uncultured bacterium. RNAcentral describes it as "partial 16S ribosomal RNA". It matches the Rfam family "Bacterial small subunit ribosomal RNA", at positions 524 to 776 of the family's 1533-position model. The record is from RNAcentral.